This 72-nucleotide transfer RNA is filed under the name Stegodyphus mimosarum. It matches the Rfam family "tRNA". Rfam says of the family: Transfer RNA (tRNA) molecules are approximately 80 nucleotides in length. Lineage: Eukaryota; Metazoa; Arthropoda; Arachnida; Araneae; Eresidae. The record is from Rfam by way of RNAcentral.
ACCUUCGUGGUGUAGUGGUCAGCACGCUCGCUCGUAUUCGAAAGGUCCGUGGUUCGAGUCCAGGUGAGGGCA